This 86-nucleotide small RNA is filed under the name Flavobacterium sp. fv08. RNAcentral's name for it is "Flavo-1 RNA". Lineage: Bacteria; Pseudomonadati; Bacteroidota; Flavobacteriia; Flavobacteriales; Flavobacteriaceae. The record is from RNAcentral. RNAcentral also lists the same sequence under 1 other name.
AUGUAACCAUUCGCGUGAGGGAUAAAGGCGGUAUCCUUUUAUGAAGCGGAGCGGAAUAAAAGAUAUAGCCGAAAGCCCGACCCGGA